GGAAGUAAAAGUCGUAACAAGAUUUCCGUAGGUGAACCUGCGGAAGGAUCAUUCAUAAUAAAGUGUUUUAUGGCACUUUUUAAAAAUCCAUAUCCACCUUGUGUGCAAUGUUAGAUCUCGUCAAUCUUGGCGAGAUUUUUAUACAUCAACUCAUUCUUUAACUAAUUUGUCUGAAAAAUAUUAUGAAUACUUAAUUCAAAAUACAACUUUCAACAACGGAUCUCUUGGCUCUC
RNAcentral lists this unclassified non-coding RNA (233 nucleotides) under plant metagenome. RNAcentral's name for it is "partial contains small subunit ribosomal RNA, internal transcribed spacer 1, and 5.8S ribosomal RNA". The stretch from base 1 to 54 matches the Rfam family "Eukaryotic small subunit ribosomal RNA", at positions 1778 to 1831 of the family's 1831-position model. The record is from RNAcentral.